UUUAAUCUAGUGAAAUAUCCAUUUGAGCCCAUAUGGUUUUUUAGGGGUCAGAUAUAUUGAAUUUUUUAGGUGGGGAUUGUUGUUGCCUUGUUGAAUUUUUUAGGUUGGAGUUGUUGUUGGAUUUAGAAUUUAUAUAGUUACUAGUUUAAAAAAAAUUAGUUUGAUGUUAUUGGUUUUUGAUGUUGGUGUUGUUACUAAUUUUUUAAUGGAUUUGUAAUGUUUUGAAUUUUUUAUAUUUGAAUGUGAAGUUUUGAAUGCUCUUCAAU
This 266-nucleotide long non-coding RNA is filed under the name Lathyrus oleraceus (garden pea). RNAcentral describes it as "Pisum sativum (pea) long non-coding RNA (PSAT_LNC002505)". Lineage: Eukaryota; Viridiplantae; Streptophyta; Magnoliopsida; Fabales; Fabaceae. The record is from RNAcentral.